This 253-nucleotide ribosomal RNA is filed under the name uncultured bacterium. Its description in RNAcentral is "partial 16S ribosomal RNA". It matches the Rfam family "Bacterial small subunit ribosomal RNA", at positions 524 to 776 of the family's 1533-position model. The record is from RNAcentral.
UACGAAGGGGGCUAGCGUUGCUCGGAAUCACUGGGCGUAAAGCGCACGUAGGCGGAUUGCUAAGUCAGGGGUGAAAUCCUGGAGCUCAACUCCAGAACUGCACUUGAUACUGGCGGUCUCGAGUCCGGGAGAGGUGAGUGGAACUGCGAGUGUAGAGGUGAAAUUCGUAGAUAUUCGCAAGAACACCAGUGGCGAAGGCGGCUCACUGGCCCGGUACUGACGCUGAGGUACGAAAGCGUGGGGAGCAAACAGG